Molecule: ribosomal RNA, 276 nt
Filed under: Triticum aestivum (bread wheat)
Lineage: Eukaryota; Viridiplantae; Streptophyta; Magnoliopsida; Poales; Poaceae
Description: partial small subunit ribosomal RNA
Source: RNAcentral
AUGUGGAACAUCAAGCUAGUUUGGCAAAAUUUUCUUCACCCUAACGCAGAAGCUAUCCUCAACAUUCCUCUGAGUGCAAAUGGUGGGGAAGAUAGCCUUGCUUGGGCUCUAGAAAAAUCGGGCAACUACACUGUUAAAUCGGCGUAUCGUUCUCUUGUGACUCGAAACGAGCUUCGUGCUCAUGACGAAGGGGCGAUUACAGAAUCUUCAUCGGCAAAUAAACAGAUGUGGGCUGCCUUGUGGAAGCUGCAUGUGGUACCGAAAAUGAGGGUCUUC